Molecule: long non-coding RNA, 357 nt
Filed under: Androctonus crassicauda
Lineage: Eukaryota; Metazoa; Arthropoda; Arachnida; Scorpiones; Buthidae
Source: RNAcentral
CAUACAAAAAUUGCACCUUUAUUGACUAGAGGAGCGCUUUUGCCUUCUUUAGCCAUCCUCAGUUCAAACUUACAAAGUCUAAGAACAUAUUCUAAGAACAUAGUCGUUAUAGCAAUUCUAGAAUAACUAGGGACAGCUCGAUGCCACUAGAAAACGUAGCUAUAAUAAUAGGAGACUUGCAGGUCCCAGAUUACAUGCACCAACUCCUUGAAAAAGGCCCCUUCUGUGCGAUAGCAACUCUCAACAAGGUAGAAGACCUCAUCCCACCCUUUGAAAGGUUAAUUAUGGAUAUGCACGAUUUGGAGAAGGAGAGAUUUAGAUGGCACUUUGUGGAAGGGGUCAAAAAAACAAAAUAAG